GAUGAACGCUGACAGAAUGCUUAACACAUGCAAGUCUUUGGCGAAGCUGUGCUUGCACAGCCUAGCCAAGGCGGACGGGUGAGUAACGCGUAAGGGACUUGCCCUGCAGUCAGGGAUAACAGACGGAAACGACUGAUAAAACCUGGUAAAGUCAGACGGACUCAUGUCCAGCCUGAUGAAAAGGAAUGCUGCAGGAGAGCCUUGCGUCCUAUUAGCUUGUUGGUGGGGUAACGGCCCACCAAGGCGAUGAUAGGUAGCCGGCCUGAGAGGGUGGACGGCCACAAGGGGACUGAGAUACGGCCCUUACUCCUACGGGAGGCAGCAGUGGGGAAUAUUGGACAAUGGGGGCAACCCUGAUCCAGCAAUUCUGUGUGCACGAUGAAGGUCUUCGGAUUGUAAAGUGCUUUCAGCAGG
RNAcentral lists this ribosomal RNA (414 nucleotides) under Leptotrichia wadei. RNAcentral describes it as "bacterial SSU rRNA". It matches the Rfam family "Bacterial small subunit ribosomal RNA", at positions 28 to 443 of the family's 1533-position model. The record is from RNAcentral. Lineage: Bacteria; Fusobacteriati; Fusobacteriota; Fusobacteriia; Fusobacteriales; Leptotrichiaceae.